Molecule: ribosomal RNA, 465 nt
Filed under: Triticum aestivum (bread wheat)
Lineage: Eukaryota; Viridiplantae; Streptophyta; Magnoliopsida; Poales; Poaceae
Description: partial small subunit ribosomal RNA
Source: RNAcentral
AUGGUACUACCUCAAAACGAAUCCAGAGGGGCCACUGCCACUCAGAAGCCCACCGCCGAGGAGGACCCGGAGGAGAGAGCCAUGAAGAAGAGGUUCGAGGAGUGGAUGGUGGUGCACAAACGCAGAUACAAGAACGAGGAGAAGGCACGGCGCUACGAGCUGUUCAAGGGGUGUGUCAAGCGGGUGAACGAGCUCAAUGCCGCGUCACGGCCGGGUGAAGCCCGGUACAAGCCAUACCGAUAUGCUGACUUUACCAAGGAAGAGAGGAGCAAAGUACACGGAAUCGUGGUCGAACCAUCUAUGUUCGACGAGUGGAACGAGGAGAAGAGGCGCAAAACACAAGGGGGUCAUGACGGCGGCGCCGACGAGGACGACUGGGAAGAACAGAUGCGCCUGAUACAAAGGGGUCUUCGCACUGCGGCCCUUAAUGGCAAGGCACAACGCAAAGCACAGCAGUCGUCCUGA